This is a non-coding RNA of Tissierellia bacterium KA00581, 66 nucleotides long. The record is from Rfam. NCBI's taxonomy places the organism in Bacteria, Bacillati, Bacillota, Tissierellia.
AACCGCCGUAUGCCGAACGGCACGUACGGUGGUGUGAGAGGGAGGAGAAAGUCCUCCCUACUCGAU